Molecule: unclassified non-coding RNA, 1312 nt
Filed under: Hevea brasiliensis (rubber tree)
Lineage: Eukaryota; Viridiplantae; Streptophyta; Magnoliopsida; Malpighiales; Euphorbiaceae
Source: RNAcentral
GAAAUUUAUACAAUAAUUUCUAAGACUUUUUACCUAAAUGGUACACUGAGCGUGCAGCAAGAAGUAGCAGUGCUUACACGCGUACUAGCAAGUGCGGGCCAAACGCAAGUUAACCUAGGACAAUUGCUGAACGUGUGCACCACCAAUGCCCUUGGGCGCGUGAUGAUAGGCAGAAGAGUGUUUAACGACGGUAGCAGCGGUGGUGAUCCAAAGGCAGACGAAUUCAAAUCAAUGGUGGUGGAGUUGAUGGUGUUGGCCGGAGUUUUCAAUAUCGGUGACUUCAUUCCUGCUUUGGAAUGGCUAGACUUACAAGGAGUAGCAGCCAAAAUGAAGAAGCUCCAUAAGAGAUUUGAUGAUUUCUUGACUGAGAUUGUGGAGGAGCACAAGAUUAAAUCUGAUGGUUACGAAAAGCACAGAGAUAUGUUGAGUACGUUGAUUUCUUUGAAAGAGGAUGCUGACGGUGAGGGAGAGAAGCUCACCGACACUGAAAUCAAAGCAUUACUUUUGAACAUGUUUACUGCAGGUACCGAUACUUCUUCAAGCACAGUAGAAUGGGCAAUCGCAGAACUCAUACGCCACCCUAAUAUCUUGGCCCAAGUCCAACAAGAGCUUGACUCGGUCGUGGGCCGAGACCGUCUCGUAAAUGAAUUAGACCUAGCCCAACUCACCUAUCUCCAGGCCGUCGUCAAGGAAACCUUCCGCCUCCACCCAUCGACACCGUUAUCUCUUCCACGCAUCGCAGCAGAAGACUGUGAAAUAAAUGGCUACCGCAUAUCCAAGGGCUCAACUCUUCUGGUGAAUGUAUGGGCCAUAGCCCGUGAUCCAGAUGUAUGGGCCGAGCCGCUAAAGUUUAGGCCCGAAAGGUUUUUGGCAGGAGGAGAGAAGGCAAAUGUUGAUGUUAGGGGAAAUGAUUUUGAGCUAAUACCAUUUGGUGCUGGACGCAGAAUAUGUGCAGGAAUGAACUUGGGGUUAAGGAUGGUUCACUUGCUAAUAGCAACUCUAGCCCAUGCAUUUGAAUGGGAAUUGGCAGAUGGGUUGAUCCCUGAGAAAUUGAACAUGGAAGAAGCUUAUGGGCUAACCUUGCAGAGGGCUGUGCCCAUGAUGGUGCACCCAAGGCCUAGGCUAUCCUCCAUUGCUUUUAAUACUGCAUAGGAAUUAGGACACCUCCCACCUCUCUCUUGAUAGAAUCGAGUUCUAUUUGUCCCAUGAAACGCUGAUGUAUAUCAGUAUUUUAGUUCUAAAUUAAUAAAGAAAAGUAAUGGGAGUAUAUGAUGCUACUCGCACACCAUAUGUAAAAAAUUAUGCUUGGGAG